This 492-nucleotide ribosomal RNA is filed under the name uncultured bacterium. RNAcentral describes it as "partial 16S ribosomal RNA". It matches the Rfam family "Bacterial small subunit ribosomal RNA", at positions 28 to 507 of the family's 1533-position model. The record is from RNAcentral.
GAUGAACGCUAGCUACAGGCUUAACACAUGCAAGUCGAGGGGAAACGGCAUUAAGUGCUUGCACUUUUUGGACGUCGACCGGCGCACGGGUGAGUAACGCGUAUCCAACCUUCCCAUGACUAAGGGAUAACCUGCCGAAAGGCAGACUAAUACCUUAUGGUCUUCACUGACGGCAUCAGAUGUGAAGUAAAGAUUUAUCGGUUAUGGAUGGGGAUGCGUCUGAUUAGCUUGUUGGCGGGGUAACGGCCCACCAAGGCAACGAUCAGUAGGGGUUCUGAGAGGAAGGUCCCCCACAUUGGAACUGGGACACGGUCCAAACUCCUACGGGAGGCAGCAGUGAGGAAUAUGGGUCAGUGGGCGAGAGCCUGAACCAGCCAAGUAGCGUGCAGGAUGACGGCCCUAUGGGUUGUAAACUGCUUUUGGAUGGGGAUAGAGUCAAUCACGUGUGAUUGUUUGCAGGUACCAUACGAAUAAGGACCGGCUAAUUCCGUG